RNAcentral lists this transfer RNA (75 nucleotides) under Candidatus Jorgensenbacteria bacterium. RNAcentral describes it as "tRNA-Glu". It matches the Rfam family "tRNA". Rfam says of the family: Transfer RNA (tRNA) molecules are approximately 80 nucleotides in length. Their secondary structure includes four short double-helical elements and three loops (D, anti-codon, and T loops). Lineage: Bacteria; Candidatus Joergenseniibacteriota. The record is from RNAcentral.
GGCCCCGUCGUCUAGCCCGGUCAAGGACACAUCCCUCUCACGGAUGCAACAUGGGUUCAAAUCCCAUCGGGGCUA